GUGCUUAGGAAAUUAAUUUAGAGCAAAUAUUUUGAAUAGAGCUAUAUAAUGAAAACAAUAGAGCUAUUGAAUGGAUAUAUUAUUCAUAGCAUCAGAAGUAUUAAGGGAGAUUGGUAUAUAAAUAUAUAAUUAAUUUGUUUUCUUGGAGAAAUAUGAGACAAUUGUACUACUUUGAGUAUCAAGGGUUGACUUGAAUAAUUUAUUUUGAUGUUUGAAAAUAAUGAUAUGCCAUCAACUAUCAGAAUGAC
RNAcentral lists this unclassified non-coding RNA (248 nucleotides) under Hevea brasiliensis (rubber tree). The record is from RNAcentral. Lineage: Eukaryota; Viridiplantae; Streptophyta; Magnoliopsida; Malpighiales; Euphorbiaceae.